This 253-nucleotide ribosomal RNA is filed under the name uncultured bacterium. RNAcentral's name for it is "partial 16S ribosomal RNA". It matches the Rfam family "Bacterial small subunit ribosomal RNA", at positions 524 to 776 of the family's 1533-position model. The record is from RNAcentral.
UACGUAGGGUGCGAGCGUUAAUCGGAAUUACUGGGCGUAAAGAGCGCGCAGGCGGUCGUUCAAGUCGAGUGUGAAAGCCCCCGGCUCAACUGGGGAGGGUCACUCGAUACUGAUCGACUCGAAGGCAGGAGAGGGAAGCGGAAUUCCCGGUGUAGUGGUGAAAUGCGUAGAUAUCGGGAGGAACACCAGUGGCGAAGGCGGCUUUCUGGCCUGUUCUUGACGCUGAGGCGCGAAAGCUAGGGUAGCAAACGGG